CCUACGGGUGGCUGCAGUGGGGAAUAUUGCACAAUGGGGGAAACUCUGAUGCAGCGACGCCGCGUGAGUGAAGAAGUAAUUCGUUAUGUAAAGCUGUAUCAGCAGGGAAGAAAAUGACGGUACCUGUGUAAGAAUCCCCGGCUAACUCCGUACCAGCAGCCGUGGUAAUACGUAGGGGGCAAGCGUUAUCCGGAUUUACUGGGUGUAAAGGGAGCGUAGGCGGUAGGACAAGUCUGGAGUGAAAUGCGGGGGCUCAACCCCCGGACUGCUCUGGAAAGUGUCCGGCUAGAGUGAAGGAGCGGUAAGUGGAAUUCAUGGUGUAGCGGUGAAAUGCGUAGAUAUUAGGAGGAACACCGGGUGCGAAGGCAGCUUACUGGACUAUAACUGACGUUGAGGCUCGAAAGCGUGGGGAGCAAACAGGAUUAGAUACCCUAGUAGUC
Molecule: ribosomal RNA, 440 nt
Filed under: uncultured bacterium
Lineage: Bacteria
Description: partial 16S ribosomal RNA
Rfam family: Bacterial small subunit ribosomal RNA
Source: RNAcentral